RNAcentral lists this ribosomal RNA (350 nucleotides) under uncultured bacterium. RNAcentral's name for it is "bacterial SSU rRNA". It matches the Rfam family "Bacterial small subunit ribosomal RNA", at positions 957 to 1307 of the family's 1533-position model. The record is from RNAcentral.
UAACGCGAAGAACCUUACCCACCUUUGACAUGUACGGAAUCCUUUAGAGAUAGAGGAGCGCUCGAAAGAGAGCCGUAACACAGGUGCUGCAUGGCUGUCGUCAGCUCGUGUCGUGAGAUGUUGGGUUAAGUCCCGCAACGAGCGCAACCCUUGCCAUUAGUUGCUACAUUUAGUUGAGCACUCUAAUGGGACUGCCGGUGACAAACCGGAGGAAGGUGGGGAUGACGUCAAGUCCUCAUGGCCCUUAUAGGUGGGGCUACACACGUCAUACAAUGGCUGGUACAAAGGGUUGCCAACCCGCGAGGGGGAGCUAAUCCCAUAAAGCCAGUCGUAGUCCGGAUCGCAGUCUG